GAUGAACGCUAGCGGCAGGCCUAACACAUGCAAGUCGUGGGAGAAGCCCUUUCGGGGGCAGAAACCGGCGCACGGGUGCGUAACGCGUAUGCAACCUACCUUUCACAGGGGGAUAGCCCGAAGAAAUUUGGAUUAAUACCCCAUAAUAUUAUUGGAUGGCAUCAUUUGAUAAUUAAAACUGCGGUGGUGAAAGAUGGGCAUGCGUCCUAUUAGCUAGUUGGAGUGGUAACGGCACCCCAAGGCUACGAUAGGUAGGGGUCCUGAGAGGGAGAUCCCCCACACUGGUACUGAGACAGGGACCAGACUCCUACGGGAGGCAGCAGUGAGGAAUAUUGGUCAAUGGUCGGAAGACUGAACCAGCCAUGCCGCGUGCAGGAAGAAUGCCUUAUGGGUUGUAAACUGCUUUUAUAUGGGAAGAAUAAGGUGUACGUGUACAUUGAUGACGGUACCAUAUGAAUAAGCAUCGGCUAACUCCGUG
This 478-nucleotide ribosomal RNA is filed under the name uncultured bacterium. RNAcentral describes it as "partial 16S ribosomal RNA". It matches the Rfam family "Bacterial small subunit ribosomal RNA", at positions 28 to 507 of the family's 1533-position model. The record is from RNAcentral.